RNAcentral lists this microRNA precursor (60 nucleotides) under Pristionchus pacificus. RNAcentral's name for it is "microRNA ppc-mir-8235 precursor". Lineage: Eukaryota; Metazoa; Nematoda; Chromadorea; Rhabditida; Neodiplogasteridae. The record is from miRBase by way of RNAcentral.
UAUCACAGUGCUCCAACGGCGAUGAAUACGAUGCAUCGCCGUCUGUUGCUCUGUGAAGCC